This 451-nucleotide ribosomal RNA is filed under the name uncultured bacterium. RNAcentral describes it as "partial 16S ribosomal RNA". It matches the Rfam family "Bacterial small subunit ribosomal RNA", at positions 354 to 796 of the family's 1533-position model. The record is from RNAcentral.
GUGGGGAAUAUUGGACAAUGGGGGGAACCCUGAUCCAGCCAUGCCGCGUGUGUGAAGAAGGCCUUUUGGUUGUAAAGCACUUUAAGCGAGGAGGAGGCUACCGAGAUUAAUACUCUUGGAUAGUGGACGUUACUCGCAGAAUAAGCACCGGCUAACUCUGUGCCAGCAGCCGCGGUAAUACAGCGGGUGCAAGCGUUAAUCGGAUUUACUGGGUGUCAAGCGCGCGUAGGUGGCCAAUUAAGUCAAAUGUGAAAUCCCCGGGCUGAACGUGGGAAUUGCAUUCGAUACUGGUUGGCUAGAGUAUGGGAGAGGAUGGUAGAAUUCCAGGUGUAGCGGUGAAAUGCGUAGAGAUCUGGAGGAAUACCGAUGGCGAAGGCAGCCAUCUGGCCGAAUACGGACACUGAGGUGCGAAAGCAUGGGGAGCAAACAGGAUUAGAAACCCCGGUAGUCC